AAACCAGCACCUCAAGUGGUCAGGAUGAUUAUUGGGCCUAAAGCAUCCGUAGCCUGCUCUGUAAGUUUUCGGUUAAAUCUGUACGCUCAACGUACAGGCUGCCGGAAAUACUGCAGAGCUAGGGAGUGGGAGAGGUAGACGGUACUCGGGAGGAAGUGGUAAAAUGCUUUGAUCUCUCGAUGACCACCUGUGGCGAAGGCGGUCUACCAGAACACGUCCGACGGUGAGGGAUGAAAGCUGGGGGAGCAAACCGGAUUAGAAACCCCAGUAGUCC
This 274-nucleotide ribosomal RNA is filed under the name uncultured bacterium. RNAcentral describes it as "partial 16S ribosomal RNA". It matches the Rfam family "Archaeal small subunit ribosomal RNA", at positions 473 to 747 of the family's 1478-position model. The record is from RNAcentral.